CUUACCAUGCAAGUCGAGCGGUAAGGCCUUUCGGGGUACACGAGCGGCGAACGGGUGAGUAACACGUGGGUGACCUGCCCUCCACUUCGGGAUAAGCCUGGGAAACUGGGUCUAAUACCGGAUAGGACCAUUCCGCGCAUGUGGGGUGGUGGAAAGUUUUUUCGGUGGGGGAUGGGCCCGCGGUCUAUCAGCUUGUUGGUGGGGUGAUGGCCUACCAAGGCGACGACGGAUAGCCGGCCUGAGAGGGUGAUCGGCCACACUGGGACUGAGACACGGCCCAGACUCCUACGGGAGGCAGCAGUGGGGAAUCUUGCGCAAUGGGCGGAAGCCUGACGCAGCAACGCCGCGUGGGGGAUGACGGCCUUCGGGUUGUAAACCUCUUUCGCGAUCGACGAAGGUCCACUUUUUGUGGGUUGACGGUAGGUCGAGAAGAAGCACCGGCCAACUACGUGCCAGCAGCCGCGGUAAUACGUAGGGUGCGAGCGUUGUCCGGAAUUAUUGGGCGUAAAGAGCUCGUAGGCGGUGUGUCGCGUCGGCCGUGAAAACCUGGGGCUCAACUCUGGGCGUGCGGUCGAUACGGGCAUCACUUGAGUUCGGCAGGGGAGACUGGAAUUCCUGGUGUAGCGGUGAAAUGCGCAGAUAUCAGGAGGAACACCGGUGGCGAAGGCGGGUCUCUGGGCCGAUACUGACGCUGAGGAGCGAAAGCAUGGGUAGCGAACAGGAUUAGAUACCCUGGUAGUCCAUGCCGUAAACGUUGGGCGCUAAGGUGUGGGGUCCAUUCCACGGGUUCCGUGCCGCAGCUAACGCAU
RNAcentral lists this ribosomal RNA (809 nucleotides) under Actinomycetospora sp. RNAcentral describes it as "bacterial SSU rRNA". It matches the Rfam family "Bacterial small subunit ribosomal RNA", at positions 48 to 860 of the family's 1533-position model. Lineage: Bacteria; Bacillati; Actinomycetota; Actinomycetes; Pseudonocardiales; Pseudonocardiaceae. The record is from RNAcentral.